CCUACGGGAGGCAGCAGUGAGGAAUAUUGGUCAAUGGGCGCGAGCCUGAACCAGCCAAGUAGCGUGAAGGAUGAAUGCCCUACGGGUUGUAAACUUCUUUUAUAAAGGACUAAUGUGCGGCACGUGUGCCUUUUUGUAUGUCCUUACUGAAUAAGAAUGGGCUAACUACCUGCCAGCAGGCGGGGUAAUACAGAGGUACCGAGCGUUCUUCGGAUUUAUUGGGUUUAAAGGGAGCGUAGAUGGGUGGGUAAGUCAGUUGUGAAAGUUUGCGGCUCAACCGUAAAAUUGCAAUUGAGACUGGGAGCCUUGAGUGCAGUUGAGGUAGGCGGAAUUCGUGGUGUAGCGGUGAAAUGCUUAGAUAUCACGAAGAACUCCGAUGGCGAAGGCAGCCUACUAAACUGCCACUGACGUUGAUGCGCGAAAGUGUGGGUAUCAAACGGGAUUAGAUACCCUAGUAGUC
Molecule: ribosomal RNA, 460 nt
Filed under: uncultured bacterium
Lineage: Bacteria
Description: partial 16S ribosomal RNA
Rfam family: Bacterial small subunit ribosomal RNA
Source: RNAcentral